This is a long non-coding RNA of Brassica rapa (field mustard), 4572 nucleotides long. RefSeq lists it as uncharacterized. The record is from RefSeq and is a predicted model, not a curated record. Lineage: Eukaryota; Viridiplantae; Streptophyta; Magnoliopsida; Brassicales; Brassicaceae.
CUUUGAAUUGAUACACAAAAGGAGCAAUCCUUCGCAAGUAAGAGCAGAAUCGAACACCGAUCGCUUGCUACUAGGUUCACGACGAUGCGACACGUGGAACUCAAUCAAAGCGAGGAUCAAGCUGUAUACGAAUGGAAAAAGAAUUGAAGACAGUUGUUCACGAAUCGGAGGAUUUUUCUGGGUUCAAAGUUCGUCGAAUUAGGGAUUUUAUUUUUUUGUAGGACUAGCUUCCAUUUGGGGAUUUUGAUUUUUUUUUUCUUACUAAAAUAGUAACAAAAAGGACACAUUUAAAUAUUAAUUUUGAUGUCUGAAAUGCGAUAAUUGGCGCAACAAAAAGGCGCAAAAAAUGAAAAACUCGCGCCGCAAAAUGUUUUAUCGGAGAGAUCAGGUUCAACUAACUACCAAUAUGUAUGUUCCUGUCCGUCCGAUCAAAACCUUUCUUAAUUUGCAACUUCACCCUUGUAAUUAUCUCUUUGAACAAAACAUCCUAAUUCUUCCAAACCUGAAAAAUAAACACUUAAACCAGAAUUUAUGAACCGAUUACACUGUACAAAUCACUGUUCAAAAAAAAUUGCAAACCAUUAAAAUUAAAUGUUUUAGACGAAUUAUUUAAAAUUUAAAUUUAAAUGAACCAUUGAUUUAUUUUAUACUUCAUAUGUUUCAGAAAGAUGUAUGUUGUAAGAUUUUCACACUUAUUAAAAAAAAAACAUAUCAGAUUUUAGUUAACAGUGCAUUAUUUUCAUAGCAGACCAGAUCUUUCUGCAACUGUCUCUUCCAGUCCUUGUUCCUUCAGCAGCUUAACUAGUUUCAUAGUAAUAGGCAAUAGUCAUUCGAGAAUGAGGUGGAGAGAAAGCACUGAAAGACAAUAUUUUGGCUUGUAAACUCAAAUCAGCAUCGAUGUAGUGCGCAGUCAAGCUGAGAUAACCUUAAAUGGUAAUAGCCCUCCAAAAAUUUGUUGUCAAACAAACCCUACUAGAAAAAUCAUUUAAGAUUUUCCUAAAUUUUUGUUUUUUAUUCUCAUAAAUUUUCAACACAUCAUAACUGUUGUGAUUCUACUCCAAUACUGAAUAGUAGAAUUAGCAUAAGAAAAAAAUCAAUCCAAUCCUUUUAUACUCUACAAACUUAUAUGGAAGAUCAUAUUUUAUAAUGGCCAUUGUUAUCAUCUCACGAAACAUCAUCAUAUCAACCUUUUGAGAAGUUCUAUGUGUUCCAGCAGAUUUUAGACAAACCUUCAUGUGGCAAAUCAAACUUGAAGUUCCAUUUCGACUAAGAUUUAAGCAGUAAAUCUUUUUACAAAGGUUACAUCUGAUAUUGGUUUUACCAUCAGGUAGUUUUCCUCCAAUUAUAAUGAACUUUUUCCAGCAUCUAGAUACUACGACUAGACUGAAAUCGUUUUGGUUGUGUACCUUUGUUAGUCUCUGAAAUUUCUAUACUUCAUGAUCCUCUAUAUCUUCAUCCAUCACAUCAUUUUGACCAUCAUCAUUCAAAUCCAUAGCUUCCAUCUUCUGAAACAACAAAAUAUUUAAAUGGGAAAGAAACAAUCAUCAUAAUAUAUAAACAAGUUUUGACCAGUACUAGGUUUAUAUCAAAGAUAAAUAAUACCUUAAGUCUGAAGAUCAAACUGAGGCAUGUAGCAAGUGAAGGAAAUCUGUAAAGGAUAUAUACAAGAUAUAUCCAUGAAAACAAGAUACAUCAUACAAACAAUGGAAACAAGAUACGUGUGUCAUUAACAUACGUGUGUCAUUUGUCACUUUCUUUAUAUAAUGAUGCUUUUAAAACUAUGUAAAACAAGCACUACAAGAUUAAUGAAACAUAAACACACAAAGCCCACAACCCAUAACGAGACUGACUUAAGUUAAGAGACUAACAAUUAUGGUAUGAAAGUUUACAAGCACUACAAGAUUAAUGAAACUGAACUAUGACAAACACAAAGAACCCUUACGUUUAUAAGAUAGACAUAUACACUAAUAGACUACUCAGUUUAUAAGCGCAAAAUUCUUUAAUCAGAGAGACCUCAUGAGUUAUGACUACUCAGUGUCAUUGUUUCAUUGCUUCACUCACGACCAUCAAUAAUCUUAAGCCAUGGAAAUGAGAUUCAUCAUCAUCAAUAAUUAAACACAGAAUCCUAACUUUACUACAAAGAAAGAUGAAACCCAAAAACAUGAACACACAAAACCCACAACCCAUAACGAGGUGGAUGACGAGUUAAACCCACAUAACCCGAGAUCGAAGUUAAAACUUGAGAAUCAUACCUGAAAUCGUGAGGAAAAGAAGAAGUCAGACGUAGAGAAAUGGAGACAGAGCUAAACCUCCUUGUAAGUAGAUGACACAUUUACCAGGAACGAAAACCUUCAAUCAAAAAGGAGAUUCAGUUUAAAGGGUUUCGGUAAACCUUCAAUCGAAAACAAAGGAAUGGUUCGAAAGUUACCUUGAUUUAUCUAUCUAAGGAGAAGAUGUAAGGAAAAACUUGUGGGUAAGAAAAUAUAGGAAUGAAGAAGAAAAAUUUGGGAGGGAAGAAGAGAAUCGCAGAAGAGAAUCGCAGAAGAGAAAAUCGUGACUAAAUUUUUUUCAAAUUGUCUAAAUCUUAAUAAUAAAAUGUUUUGGGCCAACCCAACAUCCAUUUGGUUUGGACCAGUUAGCCCAUGAGUAAAGUUGGUCUUUAACCCAAUUAGACCAUAAGUUAUUUGGGUAUGACCAUCACCAACCCAUGUGUUGUUUGGAAUGGUUUAAUCCAUAGUUGGCCCAACCAAUUGUCAGUUCUAGCGAUUGAUGAGGAAAAGAAAAACUGAAAUCUUCGAAACAAAGAACCCUCAAAAUAAAAUUUAAUUUCACCCCAAAUUUGAGAUAUUAUUACAAUUUUAUCCUGAAUUUAAGAUUCAUUGUAGUUCAUGGCACAGUGGCCAUUGUUUUUUUGAACCGGUGAUAGAAUCGGUUUAUGAUUUAAACCGAAUUGUUCCCUUUCAACGGAUACAAACAGAAAAUAACUACCGAGUUACAGAAAAUACACUUAUAUGAGAAGUCUUUACAAAGAAAGAUUGUUAAAUAGACUAGUGAACAAUGAUCUUUAGUCUUCUACAUGAAGACUUUAUAUGUUCACAUCUAAACUAUACUAAAAGCAGGAUAUAAAGCUCUAUGGAGAUGUCCACGUCGGAUGGUAAAUUCCAACCAAUGAUAGAGUUUUAUCUCUCCACGUCAUUGUUUAUUCUGUCGAAAUGAAAACCAGUGGGCUUCUUCGUGUAGUGGCCCAAAGAAAUCCUAACAUACGAAGAAAGCUUCGAUCGAGCGAUUAUAACUUUCCCAUUUCGUCUUUUCCGUCUCAUCUUCAUGAAAUCUCCGUUAUCCCAACCCAUCUCUGUACAAUCAAUUGUAUUCAUUAUUCUCCACUUUUUGAGUUCGUUUCACAUCCCUUUGCUACUCCAUCUUUAUAAAACCCUCUGGCUAUACUUUUAUCCACCCAGAAACGCUAACCUCCAUUGAAUAAGCUGAAGCUACGGCGAUGAAACCCAACGGGGAGUCUCCCCUCUUCACCGGAAACUCUCCCGUCGCUUUGUAUUACUGCAAUCGGUGCCGGAAUGGUCGUCUACUAGAUCACAAGAUGAGACCUUCAACGAUUUGGAGCUGGAGCUCGAUGGUGACAGCGGAGAUGACAUGGAAAUAACGGAUAGUGAGAUUCUUCUUUCCUUUCGUGUCCUGAAACAUUUUCAAAGAAAAAACUACUUUUAAAGCUUGGUUUUUGGAAUUUCGGAUCCUCAAGGUAAUUGAUUUGUCAUCCAAAUGGAUUUCAUAGCUUCCAAUGAAUAGUUAUCCCGCUACGUCGCAUAUGCUCAGGUAUUAGAGGGGUCGGUUUAUCAUUUUCAGGAGAUUCUUCCAUGGGUACUCAUUUAUCAAAGUACUGAUGAUUCUUAACCACACUUUCAGGUAAAAGCUGCUUCUGAUGCCAAAUUCUUCUCUUAAUAUGUUUUAUUUUACUUUUUUUUGCAAGAAAAAUGGAAUGAAGGACUGUGUUAAAGUUGAUUUUGUUUUGUAAAAAUUAUAGGUUAGUUUCUCAUCUCUUACAUUCUUCUUCAGUCUGCAUUAUAAAGUAUAAACUAUAUUUACACGAUAAGAAUGUCACUGAUAGUGGUGAAGGACAUGAAUCAGGUACUUAUGACUAACCAGUUAUGAGGCUUUUGGAUGAGUGGCAGUGAUCUGAUUGUUGACUAUGGUAGGUAUAUCUUGGGAUUCCAUUGAUAGUUUUUGCUCUGUUAAUUUUUAUUUUAGAGCCUUUGUUUAUGAUACCAUGCGGAUUUGAAACAUUCAUGUCUAACAAAACAAACAUUCGGAGUGAGACAGAAAACGUUACGGCUGGUUGACUAAUAUGUUGGGGACUCCUUCUGCGGAAGCCAUUGGAAGGUUAGGAACGGUAAAGCUCGAAGGUACUUGAGCAGCAUGAGGAAGAAGAAGCCUAUUCCUUUCUCACAUAAGUUUCCACGUUCUUAACCUCUUGCUGUGAAAACUGUUGUGUCUGAAAGCUAUAUCUAUAUAUAUGAGAAAUCCAGAAAGACUGAAAACUCUAUACGUAGCUUACUAAGA